UACGUAGGGUGCGAGCGUUGUCCGGAAUUAUUGGGCGUAAAGAGCUUGUAGGCGGUUUGUCGCGUCUGCCGUGAAAUUUCGGGGCUCAACCCCGAACUUGCGGUGGGUACGGGCAGACUAGAGUGUGGUAGGGGAGACUGGAAUUCCUGGUGUAGCGGUGAAAUGCGCAGAUAUCAGGAGGAACACCGAUGGCGAAGGCAGGUCUCUGGGCAUUAACUGACGCUGAGGAGCGAAAGCAUGGGGAGCGAACAGG
RNAcentral lists this ribosomal RNA (253 nucleotides) under uncultured bacterium. RNAcentral describes it as "partial 16S ribosomal RNA". It matches the Rfam family "Bacterial small subunit ribosomal RNA", at positions 524 to 776 of the family's 1533-position model. The record is from RNAcentral.